This 1462-nucleotide ribosomal RNA is filed under the name uncultured bacterium. Its description in RNAcentral is "bacterial SSU rRNA". It matches the Rfam family "Bacterial small subunit ribosomal RNA". The record is from RNAcentral.
AGGGUUUGAUCAUGGCUCAGAUUGAACGCUGGCGGCAAGCCUCAUACAUGCAAGUCGAACGAGAAAGCAUCUUCGGAUGUGAGUAAAGUGGCGGACGGGUGAGUAACGCGUGAGAAUCUGCCCUCAGGAGGGGGAUAACGGUUGGAAACGACCGCUAAUACCCCAUAUGCCUACUGGUGAAAUGAAUUUCGCCUGAGGAUGAGCUCGCGUCUGAUUAGCUAGUUGGUGAGGUAAUGGCUCACCAAGGCUUCGAUCAGUAGCUGGUCUGAGAGGAUGAUCAGCCACACUGGGACUGAGACACGGCCCAGACUCCUACGGGAGGCAGCAGUGGGGAAUUUUCCGCAAUGGGCGAAAGCCUGACGGAGCAACGCCGCGUGAGGGACGAAGGCCUCUGGGCUGUAAACCUCUUUUCUCAAGGAAGAAGAUAUGACGGUACUUGAGGAAUAAGCCACGGCUAAUUCCGUGCCAGCAGCCGCGGUAAUACGGGAGUGGCAAGCGUUAUCCGGAAUUAUUGGGCGUAAAGCGUCCGCAGGCGGCUUUUCAAGUCUGCUGUUAAAGCGUGGAGCUUAACUCCAUCAUGGCAGUGGAAACUGAAAGGCUUGAGUAUGGUAGGGGCAGAGGGAAUUCCCGGUGUAGCGGUGAAAUGCGUAGAUAUCGGGAAGAACACCAGUGGCGAAGGCGCUCUGCUGGGCCAUUACUGACGCUCAUGGACGAAAGCCAGGGGAGCGAAAGGGAUUAGAUACCCCUGUAGUCCUGGCCGUAAACGAUGAACACUAGGUGUCGGGGGAAUCGACCCCUUCGGUGUCGUAGCUAACGCGUUAAGUGUUCCGCCUGGGGAGUACGCACGCAAGUGUGAAACUCAAAGGAAUUGACGGGGGCCCGCACAAGCGGUGGAGUAUGUGGUUUAAUUCGAUGCAACGCGAAGAACCUUACCAGGGUUUGACAUCCUGCGAACCUCUUAGAAAUUUGAGGGUGCCUUCGGGAAUGCAGUGACAGGUGGUGCAUGGCUGUCGUCAGCUCGUGUCGUGAGAUGUUGGGUUAAGUCCCGCAACGAGCGCAACCCACGUUUUUAGUUGCCAGCAUUUAGUUGGGCACUCUAGAAAGACCGCCGGUGAUAAACCGGAGGAAGGUGUGGAUGACGUCAAGUCAUCAUGCCCCUUACACCCUGGGCUACACACGUACUACAAUGCUACGGACAAAGGGCAGCAAACUCGCGAGAGCUAGCAAAUCCCAUAAACCGUGGCUCAGUUCAGAUCGUAGGCUGCAACUCGCCUACGUGAAGUAGGAAUCGCUAGUAAUCGCAGGUCAGCAUACUGCGGUGAAUACGUUCCCGGGCCUUGUACACACCGCCCGUCACACCAUGGAAGUUGGCCAUGCCCGAAGUCGUUACUCCAACCCUUGUGGAGGAGGACGCCGAAGGUGGGGCUAAUGACUGGGGUGAAGUCAUAACAAGGUAGCCGUA